GUAGCCAUAGCUCAGUUGGUUAGAGUAUCAGAUUGUGAUUCUGAGGGUCGUGGGUUCGAGCCCCAUUGGCUACCCCA
This 77-nucleotide transfer RNA is filed under the name Chitinophagaceae bacterium. RNAcentral describes it as "tRNA-His". It matches the Rfam family "tRNA". From Rfam's summary of the family: Transfer RNA (tRNA) molecules are approximately 80 nucleotides in length. Their secondary structure includes four short double-helical elements and three loops (D, anti-codon, and T loops). The record is from RNAcentral. RNAcentral also lists the same sequence under 1 other name. Lineage: Bacteria; Pseudomonadati; Bacteroidota; Chitinophagia; Chitinophagales; Chitinophagaceae.